RNAcentral lists this long non-coding RNA (1643 nucleotides) under Coffea arabica (coffee). RNAcentral's name for it is "long non-coding RNA (CARA_LNC006799)". Lineage: Eukaryota; Viridiplantae; Streptophyta; Magnoliopsida; Gentianales; Rubiaceae. The record is from RNAcentral.
ACCUUCAUAAGUCCUUCAAUUAGGUCCCUGCUCUUGUUGCAUUUUAACCCCUCAGCUUCCCCUUGUUCUGAUAUGACCCGAAAAGUGGAAAAAGUGCGUUUGUUUCUCCCUUCUAGAUUUAAAUCAUCUUCUAAUAAGCAUGAAUAGUCCUUUUACUAGAUUAAUUCUUGUUUGUAGGUUCUAAUUGUGGUUCAAUAAUUUAUUUUGAUUUUAUCAUGUUGGGUUUAAUGAAACAAGUGCCUUGGGCUAAGAGGUUAUUUUUGUUUGGGUUUAAGAAAGUCGUUUUAGUUUAUUUUGUUUGGUUUUUUGGUUCGGGCUAGAGGGUCAAGGCCCAUCUUUUUGGUUGGCUAAUGUUUGGGUCAAAAUAUUAUACUAGCCCACUUGUUUUCCUUGGACUUUCGAUUGGGUCAAGUUAUCUUGGCCCAAGAAAGGUGAAGAUGGCCCAUUCCCUUUUUGUUUUGGAUUUUCGGUUGGGCUUGUAAGGCUUUGGCCCAAACAAAUAAAGGAAAUGGCCCAAUGGCUUGGUCCAUUAAGAAACCAGAAAACGAUUUUGCAAAUCAGUCCCUGAAUUUCUCCCUAAUUGUAUUGUGGCCCUGGACAUUUUCAACUUCUUUUAAUUCGGUCCUUGCUUUAAUUGCAAAUAGGUCCCUGAACUUUAUUUUUCUUUAAUUUUGACCUCCAAACUUUGUCAAUCUUUGCAAUCAGGUCCUUUCUUCUCUUGACUUCUUAAAUGUGAAUUGUCGACAUGAUUUAAUUGAUUCAAAUUCAUGCUUAUUUUUUAUCCUUUGUGAUUAUUUGCCAAAUAAAUUGGUACCUUGACCUUUUUAUUGUUUUGAAGCUAAUAUCUCAUUUACUCGAUUUCCGUUGCGAGGGAGGUAACUUCUAUAUUCUUGAGUUUAUUUUUUCCUACGUGCUCCUACGUGUUAUGUGAAUAUGCCUGUCUACUUUGCUUUCUUUGCCUUUCUUUAAUUCUUUUCAUUUUUUUUACUUACUUUUGCUUUUUAUUUAAGUUAUUCAUUAUGGGGUAUGUGUACACCUCUUGGCUUGUAAUAGUUAGGGAUUUAAUUAUUUUAUUCUUUUCCCCCUUUUAGAUUGUAGUGGGGUCUCCCUAAUGUAAUAGAUAGGGUUUGGAGGAGCAUUCAAUGAAGACCUAUCGAAGUCAUGUGCCUAGCUAGCAAAUGUAAUAGUUAGGGCUUUAAUUGUCUUAUGUGUCUUGCAUGCUUAGUUACUACGUGUUAAUUUGCUUUGUUAGGGCUUUGCAUCUAGUCGAGCAUGUUAAAUGUUAUGUGCUAUGUGCUUAUAAGUGUUUGGCAUGUCUACUCGCUUUCUAUAGCAUGAAUGAAUGUGAUGGACGAACGUCACCACACUAGUCCAAUGCUAGUUGUGGUUCAUUAUUUCAUUAGGAAUUCAUAGGAAGGGCUAGUCCAACGCUAGACCCAAUAGAAUUUUUCCUUUGUUUUUCACUAAUGCAUUAUUUGCCUGUGCACCACAUAUCAUGCAUUUUUUCUUAGUUUUAUCACUUGGCAUGCUCCUCGAACCCCCUUUCCCCUCAUUCUUAGGUUUUGCAUCCCAUACUAGCUAUAGGGUUCAUUUUGCUUGAGAGUCCCCUUCUGAUAAGGGAAACGAGCGAGUGUGGCUACUCG